This 59-nucleotide microRNA precursor is filed under the name Rattus norvegicus (Norway rat). Its description in RNAcentral is "Rno-Mir-430-P6b_pre stem-loop". Lineage: Eukaryota; Metazoa; Chordata; Mammalia; Rodentia; Muridae. The record is from RNAcentral.
ACUCAAAUGUGGGGCACACUUCUGGAUUAUGCGUAGAAAGUGCUACUACUUUUGGGUGU